AUUUAGUUUCUAUCAAUCUUACUCCAUUUUUGUUUUCUUACUUCUAUAUUCUUCAUGUAUAAUUUAUGGAUUUGGGUAUCAAAUAUAUGAGGUAGAAUAAGUGCUUCCUAAAAUCCAUCAUUUGAUUCCUGACUUAAAUUACUGUUUGUGGUUUGAAAUUUUUUAUCCUUGAAUUAGAAUUUGCAAACUUUAUAUGAUCAGGUUUAGUAGGUCUUAUUCAGCUAACCUCUCAACUAGUGUCAUUUUGGACCUUUCCUCGUGUCAUGUGUGUUUAGUUGUAGGUUGUGCAUAAUGUUCCUUGCUUAAUUUGUUAAGAGAUGAGUACAUAUGGAUUUUGGGUAGCUCAAACUUCAAUUUCGGACAUUGUUAUUGCUAAAUAACAUGCUUUCAGUUAAACUUUUGCACUUCUAUCUAUUUCCUCAUGUUGUGUUUGGCUGUUUGCUAUGUCAUGGCAAUGGGUUAGCUCCUCUGCUCUGGCCUUGUUAUUUGAAUUUCUAUAUUAUUGAGUCACGCCUGAAUAUGUUGUUCUUCAUUUGUAGGGCAAUGAACUUUUCUAUUCAAUCUGUGAAGGUAUUGAUGAAGAAAAGGAUCCUCAAUGCUUGAUCCUCGCAUUUCAUAUUGUUGAAGUUGCUGCAAAGUUGUUUCCUGAUCCCUCUGGUCCAUUUGCUAGUUAUGCUGCAGAUAUUUUUGAAAUUUUGGGCCGUUACUUUCCCAUUCAUUUUACACAUGUAAGCUCACUUAGGGCUGCACCUGCAUUUUUCUGCUAUGUUUAAUCUAGUGUAUACUAGACCAACUUUCUAGACUAUUCUUUUUUUUGUCCUUUAAAUAGUUUCUGAACUUGAUAUUGCAUGGGUGGUAUUUUUAGAGCUGACUGAUUAAGCAUAAAGAUUAAAAAUACCAGAAAAUCAAACACUUGGGGGCAUUCUUGUUGUUUAAAAUACGCUGAUUCUAGCUUUUUCCUGUGCUAAGUUGCAUUGAGGUGUUUUCCAUUGCUUUGCUUAUCUGUCUUGUGACAAAUAAAUUUUCUUUUCAAAAAUUGUUCUGAAGAAAUGCCAAUUAAAAUUUCUUAAACCUUUCGAAGAAUAACUUUUUAAGCACAUUUGGAUAGCUUAAGAACACUAGAGUAGGCCAUUAACAGUAAGCAUGAAGCCUGAUUUUAAACUUCAAACUUAUUAGUGCAUAUAGAUGCUUGGUAAGCUUUCACCAAGUUGAUUCAAUGUGGUUGUGUCCCUUUAGAACCUAUUAUCGGCAAAACCGAACUUGUAAACCUAAGAUUCUGUAAUAGAUGCUAUUCUGUUAUACUACUUUUCUCUCUGAAGCUUCUGAAUGUUUGUGGAGUUUUUAGUUGUGUAUAACCGCAUGGAUAAAAAGAAAAAAAAAAGGCCUCACAUUUGGGAUUUUCUGAUGAUAAGAGUCUUGCAUCAGCAUGAAAAAUUGUGAUACUGACUUUUUAAAGAAGGACCUGGAGGAUGGGAGAAGGCUAUAUAUUGGCUCUAUUUUUAGCAAAUUUUUUAUAGAUGUUAGUUUUCUUCUGAAACUACUUCCUUGCUAGUUGCUGAUGUUACUAAUACUAUAGAAUAAUGUAGUUGGAUAGGUGUAUAUAUUUGUUCUUGUGUUUGAUCUUUUUCUGAAUCUGUCUUCCAUUUAACUUUUUUUGGGUUAUAAUGUCCAGCCAAAAAGUGAAGAUAUUGGGGUCAGCAGGGAUGAGCUCUCCAGGGCAUUACUGGUGUGUGGCAUUUUUAGGCCUUAACUACUAUGUUUGUGGAAUCUCUUAUAAGAGAACAUUCUGUUUUGAUGGGUGAUUUUCUUUUGUCUGGAUAGUUGAUGUAACAUAGAAUAUACUGACACAUAAUACAAAACAAUUAGUUUCAUGGAUCUUCCCUAGGAUUUAUUUUCUUCUCUUAAACCAUAGAGUUGAGAGAGAUUUCUCUUGGAAUUUGAUGAAUGCUGAAUAGUGCAUAAGCUGCUUGAAACAUGCCAUCAGGCUAAUUGAAACAUCUCAAUGGGAAUGCUUCUUUUGGUGUAUCUUUCAGUUAAUAAAUGGAAUUGCUGUGUAUAAUAUAUGGUUGUUUGUGUUUUAUCGGACAUUAGCUGGAAAUUAAUUACAUGUUGGAUGUUUUGAUGGAGGAUCCAGCAAAAAAGCUACUGUUCUCCUAAUAAUCGAAAGUUAUUUAUGUUAAUAAAUGCCCAACAGUUGAAGAGAAGACACCAUUUACUAAAAGUACAACCAAAUUCUUUGUCACCUUCUGAGUGGUGAACUCUUUAAGCUUUUAAUCCAAUAAUAACCUUUUUGUAUUUUUAAAGUGUACCUGUCGAAAAUCAAUGCGUUAAAUGUGGAAUGAAUCAUCCGUCAUAGCAUUUUCUUAAACUUUGUGCCAAAUGCAAUGCUGACAAUGUUCAUGAGUUGGUGAGAUCUAGGGGAAGACAUGUUAAUGGGUAACAAUUAACCUUUUCAGCUGAUACAGCUUAUCUUUUGUGUCUUCCAGCUGGCAUUUGCUGCAACACCACUUUUUGAGCCAUUUGCUAUUCCAUUGCUGCUUGAUAAACUCUCUUCUUCUCUGCCAUCAGCAAAGGUUUGCUUUAUGUAAUAUAGUUCCCUUUCUACUUUCGUUUACACUGACAGUCUCUAUUUCUGAAUUAUAACAUUGGCUGAUAUUGCUUACAGGUUGAAUCCUUUAAGUAUCUUGGUUACUGUGCUCCGAUGUAUGGAUCAGAUAGGAUGGCCAAACAUGGUGGAGCUCUUUGGUCUUCGGUGAAAGAUGUUUUGUAUACCUCACCAGAGUCUGCUUUGUCUGUGGAGUCAGAGUCAGAUGGUGGUAUGAUUUUUGAGGAGAGUGAUAUUAUGGUUGAAGCCCUGAUCCUUUUGGAGGGGCUUAUGCAGCAAAAUAGUGAUUUGCUCUUAGAUAUGAUCCUUGGAGAUGAGGACAUCAAUAACUUCAUCUGCUCAUUUCUUAAGCCUUGGGAUAUUCAUGAUACUCCAUUGCAACUAAGACAACAACUUCAUUCAGUAGGUCGCCUUCUUGCUGUCUCUGCCAAAUCUUCCAUGGCUUCCUGCAAUAGAGUGUUUGAAAAAUUCUUUCCCCAAAUGAUGGAGGCUUUGGGCUGUUCAGUUGGAAAUCAUUCUGAUGAGAGUUUUGCAACUGAAGAUCGUGCUCUUUCUUCUAGAUUUAAUUAUGGUACCUUAUACCUUUGUGUCGAACUCCUUGAUGCAUGUAGAUGUUUGGUUUUGGGUUUCAAAGAAUCUACAUCCUUUCCUGAUUUUAUACACGAGAAGUGGUGUUGCAUGCUGCAUGGCUUUUGCAGAUCAUUAAUCAACAUCUUCUUUUCUAACUUAGAAGCUGUUUCUGGAAAUGCUCAAAGCUCUUUCGCUUAUACUGGAGGUGAGAUUUGAUUGCUAAAAGAGUUAAUAGUGCUGUGUUAGAUAUUUGUCCAAAAACUUCAAACUUGUGUUAGGGUUCCUGUGUGCUUGUUUUUAGUUUGCGAUAUUACAUAGUCCGAGAAUGUUAUCCAAGAUAAACUAAAUACACUGAUAUCAGCAAGAACUCAGCUUAGCAAGAAGUUAAGCAUGAGAGGAGGUUUGAAGUCCAACCCAUUUGGAGCACAAGGCCUAAACAAAUGUUUUUCUUGCACUUGUGUGCAUCCAGGGACGUCAGCCUGGCUGCUGACAACCCUAAAUGGAUUCUUAUGACUGGGUUUGAAGGAUAAUAUAUAUAUAUAUAUAUAUAUAACCAUGUUAAUCAUUUGCUGUGAAAUUCGAAGAUUCAGAUUGUUUAAACUUCAUAAAUCUCCAUUUUGGUUACAGCUGUUGAUGCAAGCUGCAGUUAUUCAGGGGGAUCUAUUAUGGAACCUUAACAAAAUGCUUAAUCCACAUUGAAAGAGUUAACUUUUGCUGCAAACUCAAUUAACCCCUUUUUAGACUACUAGGAUCAAAUUCCAAAUCUUUGAUUGGAGACUUCUAAUUUGACUUGUCUACAUCAUCAAAUCCUACUUAUUGAGAUAAUGGAAGAGUUGUUGACCUCUAGUUCAUUACCAUCAUUUGUACAUGGUUUUCUAGCUAAUCUUGGUUUAUUACCAUCUUUAGUACAUGGUUUUCUACCUACUCUUGGAUGUGUAAACAAGAAGGAUAAAGUUGAAUGCAAAAGAAAAGGAAGACAAUUGUUGUACUUUUGAGCAGUGUCUGUGUUUUCAACUGAGUAACAUUUUCUUUCCUAACAAAGAAAUCUUUAUUGUUUCAGGAAAAAGGGGGGUGGGGGGAUUGUGGGUUUUAUGGGCUGACAUUUAUUCUUACCAAAUUAGAAAAGUUUCAAUUAGAAUGCUGAAUGCAGUAGAUUUUUGCUUUUUGAUAACUACCAAUUGCAUAAGUUGUCCUGUACUGUUACAAGAAUUAUUUCAGUCACUAUUAGCUAGUUUUAUCAUUAAAUGGUGUCUUGUAGUUAAUCUCAAUUUCUCUUUCUUUUUAAUGUUCGAAUUGCAGUAAAGGGUUUGCAGCUUUUGGCUACAUUUCCUAGGAGCUUCGCUCCUGUCUCAUUGUUGCUGUUUGAGAACAUUCUGUUGAAGUUGGUGUCAGCCAUCACUUCUAACUUCGACAAGAAAUUCUCAUGGGGGCUGGAAUUAAAGGCAUUAGUGGAGAUUGGCUUAUAUAUUGAAGGGUAUCAAGAGUCUGAAAAGGCAGCAACUUUUGCUAGGAUUGUUGUAGACAAGUUUGUGUCUUGGAUAUCUUCUGAUGAGCCUGCUAUGCCGCUAUCUCUCAAAAUGCAAGCAAUUUGUGAAACUGGAAUGACAGGAAUUAGCAAUAUGCUGAGAAUUGUCCAAGGGAUGGAAAAGGCUAUAUCUGCCAAAUUCACUCAGGCUUAUGUAUGUAAUUGGCUCGAUUCCUUUGGUAGUAUCUUUUUGUGAUUGAGGUGUUUUAAGGAAAUUCUCUUUAAUAUGGAUGCUGCAGUGCAUUGUGCUACUUUUUGUUCUGUUUUUUCUAUACUUGUAGUGCCAUUAAAUUGGACAUAGUAACAGUUUUACUUAGUCGUUGUGGAUUACAAAGUAUUCAUCUUGCCUUCAUACAGGUUGAUGGUAAUUUUGAGUCAGUGGAAUUGGUAAUCAAGGUUCUGGAGUGCUAUAGUGCUAGGGUACUCCCAUGGUAUGUCUCUAAAUUGAAUUGCCUCCAAUCUCUUAAUUACUUGGUUUCUGCUGUCUUGCAAAAUUUUGUUUUCAUUAAACAGCAUUCUAGAUGAAGCUAUACAUUUCACUUGACUAUAUUUUAAUGAUUUGAUAAGUUAAGAUAAUGAACCUAUCUCUUCAUGUUAUGUUUGAUUUCCUUACCAAUUGGAUUUAUAUUGUGGUUGCUGAAUUUAAUUUCAUGAUCAGCACAUCCAAGACCAUGUUGGGGAACUUGACUCUUGAAUUCACAACUAAUUGCUGGUGGUUGAGAUAGUGGUGACCUUCCAUAAUGAGUUAGGAGCUCUUUUGAAAGCAAAGAAGGAUGAGACUUUUUCCUUUAUCUUUUUAUUUUUAAGCACACCAGAUUUUGCUCUUUGAAUCUUUCUAAUUUUCUUGGCUUAGGAAUGGGAUAUUACUUACAACUUCAGCUUUUUUAGUUGUUAUUAUGUUAAAUGUAUGCUGGUCGUUAAGAUUAAUCAUUUGUUAUGAUUGAUAAAUGCAUCCUAUUUCAUUUUCUCACUGACUUUGAUUUAAGUUCGUAGUUUAUUUUGUUUACUAGGCUAAAUCUCCUGCAGGAGGAAAUAUUGGAAGUGGGAUUAAGAAGCUGUUUUCUUGUAUAUUGCCACAUUCUGAUAUUUUAAGUUUAAGCUACCAACAAUUAUUUCCCUGCAGAUAGAAACACAAGCUUACAAUGGUGGUCAUGACUCCUGAAUAUAAUUACAGUAGCAGUUCCAAGUCGAAUGCUACUAUAGCUGGGUCCUAUGCUUAGCUUGCUAAACUUCACUGAUUGUAUCAUUGUAGUCAUAAAUGGACAUAUUUAAGGUUAUUCAAACAUUUAAGUGGAAAAAUCUGUUAAAAUCGCCUGAUACCUUUGUUCAGAAAUACUCACUCACUCAUUUAUCUUGUCAGACUGCAACUAUGUGUUGAUCUCAUUGGCAGAUAUUUGUCUCAAAUGCUUGUUUGUGUUCCAGGUUUGAAAUGAAUGGAGGUUCUGAGGAAGUUGCUUGGAAUUUGGCAGCUAUUAUUUGGGACAAGAUUGACAAUUCUAGUUCGGUCAAUCUCACUGUUCAAAAUUACGUAAGAAUGACUGGCAUAUUUACUAAUGAUUGAUGGUUCUCAUUGACAUCCGUUCAGUGUUUGAAUAAAGAAUUGCCUUUUUGGUUCCAUAAUCAUAUGUAAAAGUUUAGGAAGUUAAUUUAAAUAAAGCACUUCCUGAUCCUGACUAAUGAAAAUUCCUGUUUGAAAAAUAACAAGAAAACAUGUGUGUGUACUCAGGAACUUCUUGGUGCAGCUAUGACAGCAAUGAAACAAGCAGUUCGACGCUGUUCACAGGAAAGUCAGGAAAAGAUUGUCAAUAGAGCCUUUAGGGUACUAUCAGCAAGCACCUUGUUUCCUCUGAAAGAUUCACCAUUUGCCACUUCCUUGUCCAAUUCAGAAGACUCAUACCUUAAUCAUCAUGUUGACAGAGUUUCAUGUAGAGAUGAAUGGAUCAUUUCACUGUAUGCUUCAGUUGUUAUUGCACUCCGUCCUCAAACACACGUCCAAAAUUUAAAGAUGGUUUUACAGUUAUUCAUAAUGGCCCUUACAAAAGGUCAUAUUCCUUCGGCUCAGGCAUUGGGUUCUUUGGUUAACAAAUUGCCUUCAAAAACCAAUGAAAGGCAUUUGUCACAAGAAUAUGGUGUGGAAGAGGCAAUAGAUGUGAUACUAACAAGUAGCAUAUGGAAUUUCUGCCAGAGUAAUACUCUCAGAAAAUGCUCUUUGUUUGGUGGUGGCAAUGAGAUACAUAAUACUAAGUGCCUUGCUGGUUUAAAUCAUACCUCAGUUCACAUUUCUGCAAUUGUUGGACUGGCUUGGAUAGGAAAGGGAUUGAUUAUGCGAGGUCAUGAAGGGAUAAAGGACAUCACAAUGACUUUUUUAGGUGUCUUACUUGAGAACACCAAUAAUGGGGAUUUUCCAGAGUCAUGUGAUCCAAUUGAAGGCAAAGAGCAAGUAGUGAUCCCUCUAAUGAAAUCUGCUGCUGAUGCAUUUCAUAUUCUCCUGAGUGAUUCCGAAGAUUGUUUGAAUAGGAACUAUCAUUCAGUGAUACGGCCACUUUACAAGCAACGGUUUUACAACUCUGUUAUGCCCCUUUUAUUAUCUUCGACAAGGCAAUCUAAUUCAAUAAUAACUAGGUACAUACGGAUAUACCUCCAAAUUUCCUCUCCUUAGUAGUCCAAUGUUCUGAUUUCUUCUAGGUAAAUGUUGCCUCAAGCCCCUUCUGUUCUUAUUCCUUCGUGGAUCUAAAGCCAUGUAUUGUUGGCAUUGUACUCCUUGAUUUAAUUUUUCUGGUUUAAGUUUGAAACUACGAAGCCUGCUACUUCUCCGUUGUCCACCUUAAUAGCUUUUUAUGCCUGCUGUAAGCAUCACUAGUAGAAGAUUUUCCUCUCUCCGGUAUGGUGAUACUAGCAUGAGCUCAACUUUCUUCGUAGUUAAAUGUCAUGUUUCGAACAGUGAGAUUUUGCUCAAGCACCAUUCACCAGUUCCCCCCAAGAUUUUGUGUUUUGCCCCCUUUUGUUCAGUAGCAGUUGCAUGCUUUUUCUCUUCUCUCUACUUUCAUGUGCUUGAAUCCUUCUUCCUUCAGGGUUGUUAAUUCUAAGCAUUCCAGCAGGCGAGGUACAGGCUGGCAACAUGUAGUGUUCAAGUGUGCAUUGCAGUGUCUAGAUUGGUAGCAUCAGUUAGGACUUGAAGAGUACUGCAGGCUUGUAAUUUUGUUGUAUUUAUACCUAUCAGAGAGAACCACGUUGGUCCCCGAAGGAACUAGAAGAUAUUCAUCAUAACUUUUCUUUAAGUACUUUGGAGCCAUGGUCUUAAAUGUCUAUCGCUAAACUCUUAAAUCGUCAUUUUGGAUGAUGGAACUGUCCUGUCAAUACUUUUGUGAAUUGUGGCUUAACAAAAGCUACUGUUCAAAUGUUUAGAAGCAUAAUACAGUAACCUUGUUUGUGACUGAUAUUGGAAUUGAUGGAAUAGAGUAAUGGAAUAGAAUGUGCUCUUCAUCAAUCUUAAACAUAUGUAUGCACUCAAGUACUAAAGAUUGUGGUAAACAACCUGUUACAGAUCCAUGCUAUUCCGAUCAUUUGCACAUGUAAUAUCAGAGACCCCUCUGUCUGCUAUGAUAAGUGAAGCUAAUAAGGUUAGUAUCCUAGAACUUCCUGCCAAUUCUAUUUUGUUCUUGUUUGGGUUUGGGUUGAUAAAUCUACUGCAAAAUUGGGCCCUUGUCUGCAGCUCAUUCCCUUGCUUCUAGAUAGCUUGUCCACCUUGACUGAGGAUGUUAUGCAUAAAGAUGUCAUCUACAAUGUCAUUCUAGUCCUAUCUGCAAUUUUGAUGGACAAAAAUGGUAAGGGUGUUGUUCCAUUGUCUGAUAGAAUUUAAUGUCCCUACUGAACGAUAUUACAGAUUUUCUUUCAUGAAUCUGCAAGUUCUUUGAUUUAUGAACCAAGUUUAACCUCUUGGUCCAGGACAAGUAGCUGUUUUGGAAAAUGCACAAGCCAUAAUUAACCAGCUUAUUGGGCUUGCGGCGUAUCCUCAUAUGAUGGUAAAAAGAAUUUUUUAAUUGAUAUCUAGCUUUUUCUUCAUGAUGGACAAAUCCAAAAACUAAUUUGGUACACAAUUAAUGUGGGUAACAAACACUUGUGCAUAUUUAUGUCUAAGCAAAAAUGAAUUUGAUCAGAUGUGAUUCCUUUAUAAAUUCUGUAAAAUUGUUCUCGUAAUGUUUUAGGUAAUUCGAGAGACAGCAAUUCAGUGCCUUGUUGCAAUGUCUGAACUGCCUUAUGCGAGGAUUUAUCCAUUGAGAACAAAGGUAGCAGUUAGUUAUGUUGCAUGUCUACGUGAACUCAAUUAUGUGUAACCAAUGAUAUAUAAACAUUAUUUUCGUGAUUUCAAAUAUUUUGCCAUAUUGUCUUUGUCAAUUAUCAAUUACUAGGAAAGCUGCUUUUGUUGAUGCACUCUCUCAUUUCUCUACUUUUUGCGCAACCCAAUUCUGUCCAUGUGCAUGAAUAUGCAGUUACAUCAUUUCAUGCAUACUAAAGAAUGUUCUCUAUAUCCUUAUAAGGUUUUACAAGCUAUAUCAAAAGCCUUGGAUGAUCCAAAGAGGGCUGUCAGACAAGAAGCAGUCAGAUGUCGCCAAGCUUGGUUUGGGCAAUCAAAUAAAUGAUGGUGUUCUUUUCCUUCUUCAAUAGUGAAGGUUAUAAUUAGAUUUUGCUCACUGGCAGCUGAUGUUUUUGGACAGGGCAUCAAUUGCCUCAAGAAGCCUUCACUUUUGAAAUACUAAAUAACAUCGAGUUCCAAGGCUUGUGAGAUAAGGUUUACUAUAUUGCAUCAGAAUUAAUGGUAUUAGAAGUACUGCAGAUGGGAAAUAAUGAUGAUCUUUGCUCAUUUGUUGCUCUCAGGGAAGAUGAAGAAGUACCAUUGUCAUGCUAUACUAAUCUUUCUUGGUAGCUGAAACUGGAAACUACUCAGUCAUGCAUCUCAAAUUGCAGGCAUGCCCCUUCUAUCUCGUAGUAUUGCAUUGUGUAACAAUAAAAUGUUACCUAAAAAGUUUGCAGGUUUACUUUAGAGAAGCUACCUAGAUACCUGGAAAGAAGGGAUAGAUUUCCAAUGUGUUAUUGUGAUCACUUAACUGCAAUAUAAAGAUCCAUUGAGGCAUAUUUACCAUAAGUACACGAAAUGAUAUAUCAGCAAAUUGAGUAAAACUAGUGGCACAAUAAAUUAUCAUGGAAUUGGGUGUUUUCUAUUUUAAAGCGAUGAAAUAAAUCAUGUUACUGAACCAUUUAGCAUGUAGCUCUUGAUGACUCAAUUGUGUGUUCCUUUUCAGCUUUCUUAAGCAAGUUGGAGUACCUUCUAGUCAACAAUAGAGGACUGCAGGGAUAACGCAUUCUUCAUCUUGCCUGCUGUUCGGAAGUGUAGAUGAUUUUUUGCUUUCAAUUGAGGCAGACAAGUGAUUGUCCUAAAUUGUUAGCUAGUGUCAACAUUGCCAUUUCUUGGUCACCCUUCGGAGUAAUUGGAGGAUUUACCAUGUCCUUGGUAGUUUGAGACUGACAUAUAUUGCUCUGAUAAAAGUGUUUCAAGAGGUCUCCAAGUUUCUGAAGCCGCUAUAUAUGCAGCUUUGUUGCUGAAUAGUUCUAUUGGAGAAUGAUAUCUCACCUUAAAAUGUGAGUUUGGGAGUUUAGAGCAUUGAUUUGUUUCAUUAGGAUGUUAAUGUAUAUAGCUUAAUUAGUAGAAGUGUGCUAAUUGCCUUUUGUUCAAUGGGGGCAUUCUGCUUGCAGUCACAAGGUACAGCAAUCAUGACCAUGUAAACUUAUUGCAAUUCCUCAACAUAACAGGAAACAGCGAAAGAAGAAAAUGACUGCAUCUUAUUCAGUUAUGUUCGCAGUGUCAAAGUUCUUUUCAAUAUUAACUUUCAGUCGUCCUUUUAGCUUUCCAUAGUCUAAUAUAUUGGACAUUUUCUCUUGCCUCUGAUUUUUUUUUUCUCGUGACGUUAUCCAACACGAGGAAUUCCAAAGGUGUUAUGAAAUUAUUUUGCUUUUCCUUGGUAGUUCCAAAAUGACCGACUUUGAAUUUCAAUCUCACAUUCGAUCGUUCUUGUUGAUACUUGAAUACCUUCCUUCUUGGGUUAGUUAUGGAAAUUCAAGAACAAAUCUUCUAUAUCCCUUUUAAUUAUAAGGUGAAAAUUUUCCCAAAUCCAAUUAAUUUGGUUUCAUAACUUAUUUUAUUUUUUUUGUGUGUGUUUAAUCACGAAUACGAUAAAAGCCAAGAUACAGGUAAAUCAUGUCCAAAUUUCAGGCAAAAUUUUGUAAGUUGUAAGCAACAUAAAAAGAAAUGAGGGAAAAAAUCCAAAAUUUAGAAGACAGGAAAAAUUUCGAGUUAUCAAAAUUUUCACAAGAAGCAAGGCAAAAAUCCUAUAUCCCAUUAUAUUUCUGCUGUCACUAAUUGACUCUUGCACUCUCUGACUCUGUAUAGUAUCAGUUGGAUAAUUCCGUAUAAACACAUUCAAUCAGACAUAUCAUAUUCGCCUCCACUGGACUGAUCUGGCUCCAUAUCAUCCACACUCUUCUGUGAUUGACCAAGGCCAUCUUCCAUGUCCAAUCUUGCUCUCUUCGAAUUGAAACCACUCCCUUUUGAUGCUGAAUAACCCUACAAACACGAGGAACUCAAAGAUCAGCCAGAUGUUCUUGAUAUUUUUCAAAAGAAAGAAGAAAAAUAAAGGUUAAUUGGCAUACCCCAACUUCCUUCAAUUCUAUUGCGGCUACAGUUGAUCUCUUCCUUACAGUCAAUCUCGAAGGUACAGGAAAAUGUUCAACUUCUUCGCUUGAUUUCCCUUCUCUAGCUCUCUUUUUUCUCAAAAUUAGCUUCGUCGGUAGAGGCUGCAUCAAAAUAUACUCUGUGUUAGCAAAAUCCUCAUAGAGAGCGUUUCCACCCCUCAACGAUAAAUGCCAAACUUUAAGUACAAGUAAAUAAAGUAACACUAAAGAGCUCAAAUAACAUACCAUAUAGUGCGCCUCUGAUUCGCCAAAGGUCACAAGAUAAGUUGCGGGGUCGUCCGCAUCAUCCCCUCGAACCUGUCCAUACAUGAAGGAUGUCUCAGUCAGCAGAUGCAGUAAAAGUAUCUAUAGAAAAACUAAAGAAAGCAUACAUACAUCCCAAUGAUAUUCACGAAUCCAGGAGUAUGAAACAUCUUCACUUUCGUCAUAGAUAUCCUUUGAUAGCUGGAACGAUAAACACAUAUACAUUGACGAUCAUACAAAACUGAGAGAAAAUCAGUCACGUUGAAAUUAUAUUGCCAUUUUUCCUCGAGUAAAAAUUCAACUACCUCAUUAGGUGAAGGAACCAUAUAAGCCAAAAAUUUAUCAGGUUUUGCCAUAUCAGAGCUGGUAGCCACAAAACUUUUCAUAAUUGCCUGCAAUCAUGAACAUACUUGUCACAAAACUCUCUCUUACUAUGUUUAGUAAUUAUGAUUGAGAAACUGGUAAUAUAAUCUGGAAAAAUUACAGUAUUCAGUGACAAGAUAAUCAAUCCACUUUUUUUGGGUACAUAAUCAAUCCACUUAGAAUUGUUGAGACUUCAUAGAAGUAAUCAAUCCACUUUCCACUUAGGACUGUUGAGACUCACGGCAAUUGGUGACAAGAUAUUCAAUCCACUUAGAACUGUUAAGACUUCAUAUGAAAUAAACAAUGUGUACAAAAAUUAAAGGUGCUAGAAGAAUUUAUGAAUUUCAUAAGGGUUAAACAGCAGUAAAUUCAGUAAAUUCUUAGUCACAUCACAAAAUCCCCCCCCCCCAACACCCUGCAAAAAAAAUGACAUGAAUAAAUUAGUAUGACAAAUGUGGGGGCCAGGAAUGAGAAAAUCCCCUUGCAUCCCUCCCCUCCACACAAUCACUAAAGGCUGCGAUAAUACAACUGAAAAUAGAACAUCCAUAUUAAAAUCUCCUCCUUUCCCUCUAACUCUUCAACCUGUAAGAAAAGGUUGUAUGAUUUGUGUCUCGGAUAUACUAAUCCUCCACGAGGGAACUCAAGAGUAAUCAAUGGUGGGCCAGUGAACUAACUCUUGACAGUCUGACUUCAAUGUGCAAAAUGAUGUAGUAAAUACUUUGAUGUAUACAAACACGAAUUAACAGAUUUUACCUGAGAUUCAUGUGAAUCACGGAUACAUUUAUCCAACUUGCUGUAAAUUUCUGAGUCAGCAGUAGGAGCGCUAUCAAAGUUUGCUACAACAAACUGGUCAUCGUACCUGCCAAAUCAGCAGUACUACAUCAACUUUCACAUAAAACCAAAGCCAAUUCACUUGAAGAAACAGUCAAUCAGCUAUAAGAAUCAGAGCCCAAAAAGCCAUUCUUGCAGGUAAUACGACACUUCUUGUUUCUUUAUGGGGUCAACUAAAAAUAUUUGAGACCUUAAACAGGUAAUGUGAAUCUAAAAUCAUGUCUGCGCAUGAAUGAAAUUUCUAAUUAGACUCCAACAUUAUAUCCCAUAAACAGAUGUACCACUUCUGGACAACUGUCCAGUUUCAGCAAGACAUUUUUUUAAAGUGAAUUUACUAAAACAUCAUAUCCUUCCAGUUCUCUUCAAACUCCCAACAAGAGAAUAAAAUUUGUUUCCAGAACUCCAGAAGAAGACAAAAGAGCAUUAUUUAGUAUGUUUUCUCUUCUCAUCUUUUCUUUUCUUCCCUGCACUCCCAAACAAGGCCUAAAUGACUUUGUUCCCAACUGAGUCUUAGAUACAAGUAGAACUACAGUAUACUGUAACUAGACAGACCUUUUAAUAACCCAAGGACUUCAAAGGCUUGUAUAGUUACCCAUACAAGUAGAAAAAAAAAAAUAAACCCUAAAAGACUGUGUUUAGAAUACAAAUUCUAUCCAAAAGCAAGGGUACAAUAUGUAGACACUUCCCCUCUUCCUGUACAUAACUGCAAAUAUAAGUGCUAAUAGACAAUUACUGGCUUAAAAAUUAUGCAAUGAAGAUGAAAAAUGAAGAGAUCUACCGAUCAAAAUCAGGAAAAAGCGGGAGAAUAUCAACAGCUUGUAAUCUAGAAUUAGUUGCAUGAAUAGGCCUGGCCUUGCAUGCCUCAAAUGAAGCCUGAAUUUCCUGGAUCUGUCUUUCCCUGAAAAUUACAAUAUAUCAUUUUAUAUGGCCCCAACAAUCAGAAUGUUUUUAUAUGCACCUCUUCACAUGGAAAAUAGUAUUUAAGCUCACAACUAACCUGCUAUUAAGAUUCUCCAAAAGAUUGCGACCUUCUCGCAAUUCUUUUGCCUGCUUUUCAGUGAGAGACUACAAAGAGAAUCCAAGUUGUAACUUCCACCCCGGCAGUUCACAUUAAAAUAAACAUCUUCAGACCAAAUCAUGCUGAAUGGUACCUGUUUAGACGACUCCAUGCUAAGAGGAGAAAUAUAUUGGGUUUUGACCAGCCAAGAAACACCUUGGUCGGUGGGCCUUUCUUUCCUUUUUAUGCCAUCUUUCUUAAUUGGGGUUACAGGAUCAUCAUCACGUAAUAAUUCCUCAUCCUCGGGAUCUAGUUGCAGGCUUCUGCCUUUGGGUGGACUAAUCGAGAAAGAAAUUAUGAAAGAUCACCAUUUUCAUGCUUUAAAGAUUUGUAAUUAAUUUUGGGGGAAAAGAAUUGUCAAGGACAUACUUAUACACGCUGAGAUCAAGCAAAUCCAGUGGUAUUCCAAGAUCCGGUUCAACAUAUAGUUCAGGUUUGUGCAUUUUCUCCAGAGAAGUGAUGGCAUAUUUUGUAAACCUGCAGACUUGGUUACCAAUCUAACAAAGGAACUAAAAACUAGAAAUAUUGAAUGGAAGGCAAAUAUGAGGCAGAAUCAAGUAAGGGAUAGAUAUUUUCUUAGUUAUUACUGCACAAGUUUUCUGCAAAAUCAGAAUCAAAAUUUUGCAGAAGUGAACCUCCGAUCAUAUCUAGUAAGCUGGGCAGGCGUACAUUCAGUAAAAUUGUAUACAUAGUCAUUAUUCAUGGUUGCAAUUUAUAAUGUAUGAAUAUGAUGUGUGAAAAGUACUUGACACAUUCCAAAUAGAUCUAAAUCUUGAGGUUCUAAUGGUAGAACUGUUAUCAAGGGUUGAUGACACAUUAUGCGACACAAGUGCUAGAAAGAUUAAAUUUCCCAAGAAAAAGGUUAGUAAUGGAAGUUCCAGCAUUCAAAAUGUAGGAAAUUGGAAAUAUAGAACCCAGCCAUGCAGUGACUCUCAUUGCAAGUAAAUCGAGCAUGACACACAACUAUGCUGGAACUCAGAGCAAACAUCAACCGUUCUAAUGAAUAAACGGAAUAGAGAAAGGGAAGAGAGGCAGAUGUUUCCACAUUCAUUAAAGUUGCAGGCUGCUUAUUGGAUGAUUCACUUCUGUCAUAAGUCAUCUUCAUAGCAACUCUUUUUAUAAAACUUCAAACGGCUUGACAUGUCAUGUAGAACCGUGUUCCAUGCCUCCAAUUAAAUGAGCAAUUUUGUUAAAGUUCUCCACCAUUUAAACAGAAAAACUUGAUGGUAUUCCUGAGAAAGGUUUAAUCUCACUCUAAAUGGUAAAGAGUAAAUGAUCACGUCCAAUUUCUACAAAGUUUUGUUUUCAUACUCAGUUUCCUGGACAAGGCUACAAUUUCGAUUGAUUGAUGAUCAUCUGCGACAAUCCUACAUUUCCCUUUACAAUUAAUCUGUUAGGAAAUUAUGCUGCAUAGCCCGAAUAAGGCUCACAUUCACUCCCCAUCAAACCACAAUCUCUUUAAUAAAAUCAGUAUUCAAGCCAGCCAUUUCCAUCCUUCAAGGUAAUAUGCCAAAACUUAGUUCUAUCACAUCAAGACCAUUAAAUUUUUCAAGGAAAAAGAACAAAAAACUUCUUGCCCUACAGGUCACAUUAUCGUGAAUUAAGAUUUUAAUUUAUUGACAAGCUUAUGAUUAGUUAGCAUACCGACUAUAUAAACAGAGCCACUAUUACAUAAUUCAUUAAAAGGAGGAGAAGUGAGUGGCAGGAAGAAAAGCAGGAAAAGGUUUCUUACCGAUCUUUAUCUCUCCUUAAAGAUGUAAGCUUUGGUUGUGCUGUCUGAUCAGGUAAUUCAUUCCGGAAUCUGCAAAGAUUACAAAAUCAAAUCAAUGAUAUUCACACAGCAAAAAGUGAAGAGCAAAAGGAAAGCUUUUUCUUUUCAUGGGAAAAUAUAACACAAUUAGCAAAAACGACAAAAGUGAAACAUCAAUUGAAACAGUAAGUGAUGUGUAGCAUCAUCAGAUACAGAAAGCCCUGCAACUUGUUCUUCCUUUGAUCAUAAAAAAUGCACGACCACAUUCUCUUCAAGGAAAUGAAAUGUUCUUUGCAAGUUCAGAAUGCUUAUAACAGUUUCUUUUUGCCAGAGAGGAAAUAAUUCCCUUAAAGUGGUGACCUUGGCCAGAGACUGGAGGCAGGAAUGAAUAAAUCUCAAUAACUUUAAGUUUACGUGCAGCAGAUAUGCGGCUAGGGCUAGGUUGGAUUGUAUUUGGGUUGGAUCUACUGUUUAUGGAUCGUUAGCAUGGCAAAAGAUGACAAGCAGUUUUAAGUUUGAGAUGGGUUUCCAGGAGUGCGCCAGUGAAAGUAGGCUAGGCUUGAUGCAGAAGAGAAAGUAGAACUCUUAGCAUCAUGAUUUUUCACUUCUUUGAAGUCACCCUUAUGGGUUAGGUCAACGGCUAUAUUUUUAACUUACAAAUCCAACACAAUAGCCAAUUUAUUUCAGUAAAAUGCAUUUCUCAAGAAAAAUAAUAAACAGAAAGUUAUCAGCUUGUUGGAACUUAUUAUUUUGUAUAUGUCCAUGGUAUUCUUUUAAAGACAUCAUAGCUUAGUGACCAUUGACAACCCAAUUUAAGAAGACACUAAUGGAUUUUGUUAGCUUAAGAGAAAGGAUGCCACCUGUCAAACUAUUGAUACUACAAAUCCACAAUCGACCUUGCUAAUUCAAAGUUGGAUGCACACCAAAAUUAACUUUUAACUUGUUUGAAAAUUUUUAAUGCCAUCCUUGUGAUCAUCCUCCAAUCACAAUCAAACAAGUGUUUAAGGGAAAAACAAAGAAUAAACUUUUAAGCAAUUGAAUAGCAUGGUAUAUGUUUUGUGUAAUAUGUUCUCUCUCGAACGUUAACUCAAAAUGGUCAAAAGGAAGAUUACUGCUCAAUAGGUAAUAAUUUGCUCUAUAUCAGUAAAAAUUUCACUAAUGUGCGCACACAGAAUUCACAUAUGCACGCAAUAAAUGCUUUACCAAAAUCUAAAGUGCACCACUCAUAUCGCUAGUGUAAGAACAAAACAUUCUUAGAAAUUACUGUCAUAAUGGCAUGCUAUAAACAUCCUCAUGUUGGUUAACAAGAUAAUGUCUAACCAUCUAAACUUUCAGCACUACAACUGUGUCACAAUCAAAUCCACAUAAACAUGUGCCCUUAGAAGGAAAAGGACAAAUCUUUAAGCAACAACACAGAUCCAAUUGAUGUUUCAGCAUACUCACUUUAACUUGCAAAGAAAUGUCGUAGGCUUCUUCAACCGGUUCUCAAUCCUCUCACCACUUAACAGAGGAGCAGUCCUCCUGUCACCAAUAUGUGAGCCAGUAAUCGACCCAUGCGCUUUUGUUCCAGAAGAUAUCAUUUGGGUCUUCUGCAGCACUCUACUCUGUGAUUCUUUAAUGUGCUGCCUAUGUUUUUCUUCCUGCCGUUGCUUCUCGUAUUCUCUCUUCUUCCUCAACCUCCUCUCCUCCUCUGUCUCAACCCUCCCUGGAGGCCCACUGGGCUUUCUAGCUGGAACUUGAGGAACAGGAACCUUCUGCUGCUUAGCGUUUCCCAAAUCACGCCACCCAGAAUCUCUUCCUUCCCUCGAUGGCCUUCUCUCCUCUGCAUUCCUGUUUUCCUUGCUCUGACCAGGAGGAAGUGACGACGGUAGUGGCGGAGGCGAUAACGGUGGCGGAGGAGGAGGUGGAGCGACAGAAUUAGGGGGAGGAGAGGAAGGGGGCGGCGGAGGUGGGGGUGGCUGCAAGGGUUGCAAAGGCUGGUGCUGACUGUACUGGGAGUACUGACCAGAUGGAUAAUACCCUGGAGCAGGCGGGGCAGGGCCAGGCUGCGGGGGCAAGGAAGUCGGAGGAGGAGGAGGUGGGAAGGACUUAUCCUGGAGAGGCGGCGGAGGAGGAUACUGAUAUUGUUGCUGUGCUGGCUGCGGCGGAAUUUGAUUCCGCGGAGGAGGAUUGUAUGGCUGCGGAUAAUUCGAAUUUGGCGGCAUUUGAGAAUAACCCCAAUUCUGAGAAUACUGAUUCCCUUGAGAUUGUUGCUGCUGAUGAGGGGGCAAGGCAGGAGGUUGCAAAGGAUUCUGAUUCGCGGGCCCCGGCGGCGGCGGCGGCGGCGGCGGAGGAGGUGGCCGAGGAGCAAAAGUUGACUGAGGUGGCGGAGGAAAUGGCCUAUACGACGCCAUUACAACUACUCCCCUUGCGCAACUCUGCGUUUACUACUGAACUGAAACCCUAAGUAACAUAAAUGACAGAAAUUUGCAGUAACUCACAAAUUUACCGAGUUUUAGUUGUAUGCAUUGCAUUCAUAGCCCCGUAUUAGCACGAAUUUGUAUGUAUACUAAAUCGGAAAAAAAAAAAAAACCUAGCAAUUACAAAACAGAACGAACAAAACUUCACAAAAGUUGACAGCUAAGUGCGAUUAAAUUUGGAGAAAAUUCUCCGUCCGAGGAUCGAAGAAGUUAAAUUCAAUUACAUAUAAUUCGAGAUUGAGCUGAAAGGACAGCUAAAUUCCAACCCUAGAGCCAAAAACAAUUUUAUUAUUAGAAGGAGAUUGUUUAUUUCGGGAAUCUAAUCAAAACUGAAUCAUCAAAGAAAAAAGAAUGUAGGAGAAGGAGGAAUCGAACAGCGAAAGUUAAAUCAGAAAUACACGAAAAAUGCUAUAUAACAGAGCAUCUGUACAAACAAGUGUUUGAUCGGAGAAAAAGGGAGCGGUGGAGAGGGACGCUGGGUAUUGGGAGUAAAAGGGCGGGGGUAUUACUUGAAGUUUAACUCGCUGGCGACUGCUACUUAAGAACUAGUGCAGGUGUACGCGAUAAAAAUCUAUAACGCAUCGCAGUGUCUUUUUUCGGCUGUGACCGACCGCCUUGUUUGGACUUUGGAUUGUUAGUUUUCACAGAUAAAUUUUUAUAUUUUUUAUAAAUACAUCUUUUUGUUCGUUUUACAAGUCCUCGUUGCCUAGAUAUAAUGCUGUCAUGCACCCAAAUUGAUACCACU
This 18895-nucleotide long non-coding RNA is filed under the name Coffea arabica (coffee). RNAcentral describes it as "long non-coding RNA (CARA_LNC003031)". Lineage: Eukaryota; Viridiplantae; Streptophyta; Magnoliopsida; Gentianales; Rubiaceae. The record is from RNAcentral.